This 21-nucleotide non-coding RNA is filed under the name Caenorhabditis elegans. The record is from RNAcentral. Lineage: Eukaryota; Metazoa; Nematoda; Chromadorea; Rhabditida; Rhabditidae.
UAGAGAAGUUUUUGAAAAAAU